AUCCAGCUGACGAGUCUCAAAUAGGAUGAAGCGCACUUUGUCCUGGAU
RNAcentral lists this non-coding RNA (48 nucleotides) under Schistosoma margrebowiei. Lineage: Eukaryota; Metazoa; Platyhelminthes; Trematoda; Strigeidida; Schistosomatidae. The record is from RNAcentral.